This 315-nucleotide ribosomal RNA is filed under the name uncultured bacterium. RNAcentral's name for it is "bacterial SSU rRNA". It matches the Rfam family "Bacterial small subunit ribosomal RNA", at positions 28 to 334 of the family's 1533-position model. The record is from RNAcentral.
GACGAACGCUGGCGGCGCGCCUAACACAUGCAAGUCGAACGGAGUUGUGUUGAAAGCUUGCUGGAUAUACAACUUAGUGGCGGACGGGUGAGUAACACGUGAGUAACCUGCCUCUCAGAGUGGAAUAACGUUUGGAAAUGACUGCUAAUACCGCAUAAGCGCACGUCAUCGCAUGAUGGUGUGUGAAAAACUCCGGUGGUAUGAGAUGGACCCGCGUCUGAUUAGGUAGUUGGUGGGGUAACGGCCCACCAAGCCGACGAUCAGUAGCCGACCUGAGAGGGUGACCGGCCACAUUGGGACUGAGACACGGCCCAA